CAGCCGCCGCGGUAAUACGUAGGGGGCAAGCGUUAUCCGGAUUUACUGGGUGUAAAGGGAGCGUAGACGGAAUGGCAAGUCUGAAGUGAAAUGCCCGGGCUCAACCCGGGAACUGCUUUGGAAACUGUCGAUCUGGAGUGUUGGAGAGGUAAGUGGAAUUCCUGGUGUAGCGGUGAAAUGCGUAGAGAUCAGGAAGAACACCGGAGGCGAAGGCGGCUUACUGGACAAAGACUGACGUUGAGGCUCGAAAGCGUGGGAAGCAAACGGGAUUAGAUACCCCUGUAGUCCCUGUCUCUUAUAC
RNAcentral lists this ribosomal RNA (301 nucleotides) under uncultured bacterium. RNAcentral describes it as "partial 16S ribosomal RNA". It matches the Rfam family "Bacterial small subunit ribosomal RNA", at positions 509 to 807 of the family's 1533-position model. The record is from RNAcentral.